CUGAAUACUGGAUCCAUUCACUCACUUCUUGGGGAGGAACAGGCCUGCCAUUCUGGCAAGUACAAUACGUGACUUUGGCAUAGGAUGGGAAAUCAAGUUGAAUACUGUACAGUAUGAAAUCGCAGGGGUGAUUUUGAGAACACACCAAAACUUUUAACCCUGCUGGAAUUGUCCAGGGGUCUGCUGGAGGCAAACGCUGCAGAAGAUAGAAUGCUCUUGGAUCUUUAACCACCAUGAAUGCUCAGGCCUUGGGUUAAAAGGCUUAUUAGGAAGUCUGUAAUAUAGAGGUAAAUAUCUGAGACAAAGUGUCAUUUCUUUCUUCCCUGACACACUUUUCAGAGCCAAGUGGCAGCAGUAGGAGGGGUAUUGCACUCCUCUCACUUCCUGUUGCCUUAGCAAAAUUCAAGUGCUACAAGAACCAAUCCUGUAACAUUUGUUGCUAGAGAUGUUGAAAAUUAUUCUCCUUCUGAUGCCUGGUGCUGGGGUUGGAGACCUCAUCUCGCAGUGGCCAAAAGCAGCAAUCCAGAAACCAGGGGAGGCUGUGACCAUGAGCUGUUACCAGAAUGACAGUGACCGGACAAACAUGCUCUGGUACCAGCAACCCCAGGGAGAAGGUCUGAAGUUAAUAGCCAUUAUUUAUACUGGGUCAAGUCCCUCUUAUGAGAAAGACUUCGAUGAGAGCAAGUUCAUGAUCAGCAGAGAGCAGAAGCUGUCUGUCAUGACUGUGAAGAAAGUAACCGCCAGGGAUGCAGCCACCUAUUUCUGUGCUGCCAGUGAGCACACACUGCUGUGA
Molecule: non-coding RNA, 793 nt
Organism: Dermochelys coriacea (leatherback sea turtle)
Lineage: Eukaryota; Metazoa; Chordata; Testudines; Dermochelyidae
Source: the annotation of a RefSeq genome assembly